GAUGAACGCUGGCGGCGUGCCUAAUACAUGCAAGUCGAGCGAACAGACGAGGAGCUUGCUCCUCUGACGUUAGCGGCGGACGGGUGAGUAACACGUGGAUAACCUACCUAUAAGACUGGGAUAACUUCGGGAAACCGGAUCUAAUACCGGAUAAUAUAUUGAACCUCAUGGUUCAAUAGUGAAAGACGGUUUUGCUGUCACUUAUACAUGGAUCCGCGCCGCAUUAGCUAGUUGGUAAGGUAACGGCUUACCGAGGCAACGAUGCGUAGCCGACCUGAGAGGGUGAUCGGCCACACUGGAACUGAGACACGGUCCAGACUCCUACGGGAGGCAGCAGUAGGGAAUCUUCCGCAAUGGGCGAAAGCCUGACGGAGCAACGCCGCGUGAGUGAUGAAGGUCUUCGGAUCGUAAAACUCUGUUAUUAGGGAAGAACAAAUGUGUAAGUAACUAUGCACGUCUUGACGGUACCUAAUCAGAAAGCAACGGCUAACUACGUG
This 497-nucleotide ribosomal RNA is filed under the name uncultured bacterium. Its description in RNAcentral is "partial 16S ribosomal RNA". It matches the Rfam family "Bacterial small subunit ribosomal RNA", at positions 28 to 507 of the family's 1533-position model. The record is from RNAcentral.